UGGCUCAGAGCGAACGCUGGCGGCAGGCUUAACACAUGCAAGUCGAGCGGGCGUAGCAAUACGUCAGCGGCAGACGGGUGAGUAACGCGUGGGAACGUACCUUUUGGUUCGGAACAACACAGGGAAACUUGUGCUAAUACCGGAUAAGCCCUUACGGGGAAAGAUUUAUCGCCGAAAGAUCGGCCCGCGUCUGAUUAGCUAGUUGGUGAGGUAAUGGCUCACCAAGGCGACGAUCAGUAGCUGGUCUGAGAGGAUGAUCAGCCACAUUGGGACUGAGACACGGCCCAAACUCCUACGGGAGGCAGCAGUGGGGAAUAUUGGACAAUGGGGGCAACCCUGAUCCAGCCAUGCCGCGUGAGUGAUGAAGGCCCUAGGGUUGUAAAG
This 384-nucleotide ribosomal RNA is filed under the name Bradyrhizobium sp. R-45579. RNAcentral describes it as "bacterial SSU rRNA". It matches the Rfam family "Bacterial small subunit ribosomal RNA", at positions 20 to 430 of the family's 1533-position model. Lineage: Bacteria; Pseudomonadati; Pseudomonadota; Alphaproteobacteria; Hyphomicrobiales; Nitrobacteraceae. The record is from RNAcentral.